UGGAGAAGCUGACCAUUUUAUUUAUAAGAUGUGCUGUAUGGAGCGAGCAAUAAAAAUUAACUUUUCAGUGCUUCACCAACCAACUAUAUGAGUAUUUAUCCAAUAGCUUAAAGAAGAUCAAGCAUAAUAUCAUCUGAAUAUGGGAUUGUACUUACGCUGCAUUCAAGUCAUACAUCUUAUAAGCAGGUGUACCCAUACCACGUAAGGUGCAUCGGCGCAUAUAUGCCCACUCAGAUUCCUCUUCUUAGUGAUCAUGAAUCCUACAAUGGGUCAAACACCCCUAGCUCUCAGUCUAAUUUUUGGGCUAGGUUUGCCCUGUUUGUAAGCUACCAAAAAAUUCAACGGUAUUGUUGAUGGCAGACUAUUAGUUGGUGACAUGAGAGUUAGGAUAUAAAUCAGUUCCCAUCUUGCAGGAACUGCAUUUGAGCUGCCUGAUGGCACGAACGGUGUACACCUUUGAUCACUGUUCUCCCUUAUUUUCAC
RNAcentral lists this long non-coding RNA (483 nucleotides) under Setaria viridis. Its description in RNAcentral is "long non-coding RNA (SVIR_LNC006454)". The record is from RNAcentral. Lineage: Eukaryota; Viridiplantae; Streptophyta; Magnoliopsida; Poales; Poaceae.